CUGAUACUUCGGGGCAGGGUGAAAUUCCCUACCGGCGGUGAUAAGGUCGUUUACCUUUUAGUCCGUGACCCGUGACAACAGUAGUUGAAGCGGUGGAUCUGGUGAAAUUCCAGAGCCGACAGUUAAAGUCUGGAUGGGAGAAGUGAGGA
RNAcentral lists this non-coding RNA (149 nucleotides) under Geomicrobium sp. JCM 19039. RNAcentral's name for it is "FMN riboswitch aptamer (RFN element)". It matches the Rfam family "FMN riboswitch aptamer (RFN element)". Rfam says of the family: The RFN element is a highly conserved domain that is found frequently in the 5'-untranslated regions of prokaryotic mRNAs that encode for flavin mononucleotide (FMN) biosynthesis and transport proteins. This element is a metabolite-dependent riboswitch that directly binds FMN in the absence of proteins. RNAcentral also lists the same sequence under 1 other name. The record is from Rfam by way of RNAcentral. Lineage: Bacteria; Bacillati; Bacillota; Bacilli; Caryophanales.